This 402-nucleotide ribosomal RNA is filed under the name uncultured bacterium. RNAcentral describes it as "bacterial SSU rRNA". It matches the Rfam family "Bacterial small subunit ribosomal RNA", at positions 355 to 774 of the family's 1533-position model. The record is from RNAcentral.
UGGGGAAUAUUGGACAAUGGGCGCAAGCCUGAUCCAGCCAUGCCGCGUGAGUGAUGAAGGCCUUAGGGUUGUAAAGCUCUUUUGCCGGGGACGAUAAUGACGGUACCCGGAGAAUAAGUCCCGGCUAACUUCGUGCCAGCAGCCGCGGUAAUACGAAGGGGACUAGCGUUGUUCGGAAUCACUGGGCGUAAAGCGCACGUAGGUGGAUUUGUAAGUCAGGGGUGAAAUCCCGGGGCUCAACCUCGGAACUGCCUUUGAUACUGCAAGUCUUGAGUCCGAUAGAGGUGGGUGGAAUUCCUAGUGUAGAGGUGAAAUUCGUAGAUAUUAGGAAGAACACCGGUGGCGAAGGCGGCCCACUGGAUCGGUACUGACACUGAGGUGCGAAAGCGUGGGGAGCAAACA